CAGCAGCCGCGGUAAUACGGAGGAUCCAAGCGUUAUCCGGAAUCAUUGGGUUUAAAGGGUCCGUAGGCGGUCUUGUAAGUCAGUGGUGAAAGCUUAUCGCUCAACGGUGGAACGGCCAUUGAUACUGCAGGACUUGAAUUAUUGGGAAGUAACUAGAAUAUGUAGUGUAGCGGUGAAAUGCUUAGAGAUUACAUGGAAUACCAAUUGCGAAGGCAGGUUACUACCAAUUGAUUGACGCUGAUGGACGAAAGCGUGGGUAGCGAACAGGAUUAGAUACCCCUGUAGUCCCUGUCUCUUAUAC
RNAcentral lists this ribosomal RNA (301 nucleotides) under uncultured bacterium. Its description in RNAcentral is "partial 16S ribosomal RNA". It matches the Rfam family "Bacterial small subunit ribosomal RNA", at positions 509 to 807 of the family's 1533-position model. The record is from RNAcentral.